GUCGACUGCGCAUCCUAUAAUGCAGUCGAGCGCAGGAACCGUCUGACCCUUCGGGGGGACGACGGCGGAAUGAUCAGCGGACGGAUGAUUACCAGGUAAGGAACCUGCCCUUACGUCUGGAAUGCCCACGACAAAUCGGGGCUAAUACCGAAUGUGUCGGCUCACCGCUGGGUCCGCUGAUGAAAGGCCCUUCGUCGUCGCCCCUGGAUGGCUUUGCGGAGCAUUACCUAGUUGGCGGGGUAACGGCCCACCAAGGCGACGAUCCAUAGCCGACCUGCGAGGACGAUGGGCCACCCUGGGACUGAGACACCGCCCAGACUCCUACGGGAGGGAGCCUUAGGCAAUCUUCCACAAUGGACGAGAGUCUGAUGGAGCAACGCCUCGUGAACGACGAAGGCUUUCGGGUCGUAAAGUUCUGUUAACAGGUAAGAACAAGUGCCGCUGGCAAUGGAAGCACCUUGACCGAACCUUGCGCGAAAACCACCGGUAACUACGUGGCAGCAACCGCGGUUAGGAUUUAGUGGCCAGCGUUGACCGGAAUUAUUGGGCGUAAAGCGCAUGCAAGCGGCCUCUUAUGACUGAUGUGAAAGCACCCGGCUCAACCGGGGAGGGCCAUUGGAAACUGGGAGGCUUGACUAUAGGAGACAUUAGUGGAAUUCCACGUGUUGCGGUGAAAUGCGUGAGAGAUGUGGAGGAACACCAGUGGCUAUGGCGACUCUUUGCGCAAUAACUGGACGCUAAAGCGCGAAAAACAAGCCGAGCAAACAGGAUUUGGAUACUCCUGGCAGUCCACCGCUUAAGCCAUGAGGUGCUAGGUGUUUCGAGCGCUUUCCCGCCCUUACAUACCGGCAUUUAACACACUGACACUCCAGUCUGGCGAGUAUGGUCUCAAUGUUAAAAAUUUAAAGGGAGCUGCCCCGGAUCCCUCACAACAGAGGAUUAUAUGAAAAUAUUCCCGACGAAC
This 964-nucleotide ribosomal RNA is filed under the name Exiguobacterium sp. MRBI6. RNAcentral's name for it is "bacterial SSU rRNA". It matches the Rfam family "Bacterial small subunit ribosomal RNA", at positions 1 to 961 of the family's 1533-position model. The record is from RNAcentral. Lineage: Bacteria; Bacillati; Bacillota; Bacilli; Caryophanales.